Transfer RNA from Rhizopogon vinicolor AM-OR11-026, 79 nucleotides. It matches the Rfam family "tRNA". From Rfam's summary of the family: Transfer RNA (tRNA) molecules are approximately 80 nucleotides in length. Their secondary structure includes four short double-helical elements and three loops (D, anti-codon, and T loops). Further hydrogen bonds mediate the characteristic L-shaped molecular structure. tRNAs have two regions of fundamental functional importance: the anti-codon, which is responsible for specific mRNA codon recognition, and the 3' end, to which the tRNAs corresponding amino acid is attached (by aminoacyl-tRNA synthetases). tRNAs cope with the degeneracy of the genetic code in two manners: having more than one tRNA (with a specific anti-codon) for a particular amino acid; and 'wobble' base-pairing, i.e. permitting non-standard base-pairing at the 3rd anti-codon position. Lineage: Eukaryota; Fungi; Basidiomycota; Agaricomycetes; Boletales; Rhizopogonaceae. The record is from Rfam.
GGCCGCCUGGCGAAAUGGCAUCGCGUCUGACUACGAUCCCGUGAUCAGGAGAUUGCAGGUUCGACCCCUGCGGUGGUCA